GGCCUAACACAUGCAAGUCGAGCGCCCCGCAAGGGGAGCGGCAGACGGGAGAGUAACACGUGGGAACGUGCCCUUUGGUUCGGAAUAACUCAGGGAAACUUGAGCUAAUACCGGAUAAGCCCUUACGGGGAAAGAUUUAUUGCCAAAGGAGCGGCCCGCGUCCGAUUAGCUAGUUGGUGAGGUAACGGCUCACCAAGGCGACGAUCGGUAGCUGGUCUGAGAGGAUGACCAGCCUCACUGGGACUGAGACACGGCCCAGACUCCUACGGGAGGCAGCAGUGGGGAAUAUUGGACAAUGGGCGCAAGCCUGAUCCAGCCAUGCCGCGUGGAUGAUGAAGGCCUUAGGGUUGUAAAGUCCUUUUAACGGGGAAGAUAAUGACGGUACCCGUAGAAUAAGCCCCGGCUAACUUCGUGCCAGCAGCCGCGGUAAUACGAAGGGGGCUAGCGUUG
This 450-nucleotide ribosomal RNA is filed under the name uncultured bacterium. RNAcentral describes it as "bacterial SSU rRNA". It matches the Rfam family "Bacterial small subunit ribosomal RNA", at positions 45 to 543 of the family's 1533-position model. The record is from RNAcentral.